AACUCGGCAAAAUGACCCCGUAACUUAGGGAUAAGGGGUGCCACCAUCAGGUGGCCGCAGAGAAUAGGCCCAAGCGACUGUUUACCAAAAACAUAGGUUUCUGCUAAGUCGCAAGACGAUGUAUAGGAGCUGACGCCUGCCCGGUGCUGGAAGGUUAAGGGGAUCUGUUAGAGCAAUCGAAGCAGUGAACUUAAGCCCCAGUAAACGGCGGCCGUAACUAUAACGGUCCUAAGGUAGCGAAAUUCCUUGUCGGGUAAGUUCCGACCCGCACGAAAGGCGUAACGAUUUGGGCACUGUCUCAACAACAGACUCGGUGAAAUUGUAAUUCCGGUGAAGAUGCCGGAUACCUGCGACAGGACGGAAAGACCCCAUGGAGCUUUACUGUAGCUUGACAUUGGGUCUUGGUACUACAUGUACAGGAUAGGUGGGUGGCUUUGAAACCAGGACGCCAGUUUUGGCGGAGCCAUCCUUGGGAUACCACCCUUGUAGUACUGGGACUCUAACCAGAGG
Molecule: ribosomal RNA, 510 nt
Filed under: Clostridioides difficile
Lineage: Bacteria; Bacillati; Bacillota; Clostridia; Peptostreptococcales; Peptostreptococcaceae
Description: partial 23S ribosomal RNA
Rfam family: Bacterial large subunit ribosomal RNA
Source: RNAcentral